Piloderma croceum F 1598 is the source of this 72-nucleotide transfer RNA. It matches the Rfam family "tRNA". From Rfam's summary of the family: Transfer RNA (tRNA) molecules are approximately 80 nucleotides in length. Their secondary structure includes four short double-helical elements and three loops (D, anti-codon, and T loops). Further hydrogen bonds mediate the characteristic L-shaped molecular structure. tRNAs have two regions of fundamental functional importance: the anti-codon, which is responsible for specific mRNA codon recognition, and the 3' end, to which the tRNAs corresponding amino acid is attached (by aminoacyl-tRNA synthetases). tRNAs cope with the degeneracy of the genetic code in two manners: having more than one tRNA (with a specific anti-codon) for a particular amino acid; and 'wobble' base-pairing, i.e. permitting non-standard base-pairing at the 3rd anti-codon position. The record is from Rfam. NCBI's taxonomy places the organism in Eukaryota, Fungi, Basidiomycota, Agaricomycetes, Atheliales, Atheliaceae.
GGCCUAAUAGUCUAGCGGUUAUGACGUUGGAUUCUGAUUCCAGAGGUCCAGGUUCGACUCCUGGUUGGGCCU